GACGAACGCUGGCGGCGUGCUUAACACAUGCAAGUCGAACGGAAAGGCCCUGCUUGCAGGGUACUCGAGUGGCGAACGGGUGAGUAACACGUGGGUGAUCUGCCCUGCACUUCGGGAUAAGCCUGGGAAACUGGGUCUAAUACCGGAUAGGAGCCAUUUUUAGUGUGAUGGUUGGAAAGAUUUUUCGGAGUAGGAUGAGCUCGCGGCCUAUCAGCUUGUUGGUGGGGUAAUGGCCUACCAAGGCGGCGACGGGUAGCCGGCCUGAGAGGGUGGACGGCCACAUUGGGACUGAGAUACGGCCCAGACUCCUACGGGAGGCAGCAGUGGGGAAUAUUGCACAAUGGGCGCAAGCCUGAUGCAGCGACGCCGCGUGGGGGAUGACGGCCUUCGGGUUGUAAACUCCUUUCGCUAGGGACGAAGCUUUUUGUGACGGUACCUAGAUAAGAAGCACCGGCUAACUACGU
Molecule: ribosomal RNA, 464 nt
Filed under: uncultured bacterium
Lineage: Bacteria
Description: partial 16S ribosomal RNA
Rfam family: Bacterial small subunit ribosomal RNA
Source: RNAcentral